This 292-nucleotide ribosomal RNA is filed under the name uncultured bacterium. Its description in RNAcentral is "partial 16S ribosomal RNA". It matches the Rfam family "Bacterial small subunit ribosomal RNA", at positions 505 to 796 of the family's 1533-position model. The record is from RNAcentral.
UUGCAAGCCGCCGCGGUAAUACGGAGGAGGCAAGCGUUAUCCGGAAUUAUUGGGCGUAAAGCGUCCGUAGGUGGUUGUUCAAGUCUUCUGUCAAAGCGCGGAGCUUAACUCCGUAAAGGCAGAGGAAACUGAGCGGCUAGAGUGCGAUAGGGGCAGAGGGAAUUCCCAGUGUAGCGGUGAAAUGCGUAGAUAUUGGGAAGAACACCGGUGGCGAAAGCGCUCUGCUGGGUCUGCACUGACACUGAGGGACGAAAGCUAGGGGAGCGAAAGGGAUUAGAUACCCCCGUAGUCC